UACGGAGGAUGCAAGCGUUAUCCGGAAUUAUUGGGCGUAAAGCGUCCGUAGAUGGUUUUGCCAGUCGGCUGUCAAAGCGCAGGGCUUAACCCUGUAAAGGCAGUGGAAACUACAAGACUAGAGUGCAGUAGGGGCAGAGGGAAUUCCCAGUGUAGCGGUGAAAUGCGUAGAGAUUGGGAAGAACACCCGUGGCGAAAGCGCUCUGCUGGACUGCAACUGACAUUGAGGGACGAAAGCUAGGGGAGCAAAUGGG
Molecule: ribosomal RNA, 253 nt
Filed under: uncultured bacterium
Lineage: Bacteria
Description: partial 16S ribosomal RNA
Rfam family: Bacterial small subunit ribosomal RNA
Source: RNAcentral